ACGCUCGACACCUACGAGGCAGCAGUGGGGAAUAUUGCACAAUGGGGGAAACCCUGAUGCAGCGACGCCGCGUGGAGGAAGAAGGUCUUCGGAUUGUAAACUCCUGUUGUUGGGGAAAAAGAGGAUGGUACCCAACAAGGAAGUGACGGCUAACUACGUGCCAGCGCCGCGGUAAUCUGAGCGGGCUGGCAAGGC
This 195-nucleotide ribosomal RNA is filed under the name uncultured bacterium. RNAcentral's name for it is "partial 16S ribosomal RNA". It matches the Rfam family "Bacterial small subunit ribosomal RNA", at positions 326 to 539 of the family's 1533-position model. The record is from RNAcentral.